GCUGACACAUCCCUGCCAAUCUCCGGCAGACCCUCCCUCCCAGACCCUCCCUCCUCCUGGACAGCAUCCAUGUUGAAGCUGCCUUCAACAUGGAUGCUGUCCAGGAAGUAGGAGGGUCUGGGAGGGAGGGUCUGCCGGAGAUUGGCAGGGAUGUGUCAG
Molecule: microRNA precursor, 159 nt
Filed under: Pelobates cultripes (western spadefoot toad)
Lineage: Eukaryota; Metazoa; Chordata; Amphibia; Anura; Pelobatidae
Source: RNAcentral